AUACGUAGGUGACAAGCGUUAUCCGGAUUUACUGGGCGUAAAGGGCGUGUAGGCGGUCUUGCAAGUCAGAAGUGAAAUUCCUGAGCUCAACUCGGGCGCUGCUUCUGAAACUGCAGGACUUGAGUGCUGGAGGGGAUAGCGGAAUUCCUAGUGGAGCGGUAAAAUGCGCAGAUAUUAGGAAGAACACCGGUGGCGAAGGCGGAUAUCUGGACAGUAACUGACGCUGAGGCGCGAAAGCGUGGGGAGCAAACAGGAUUAGAUCCCCGGGUAGUCCACGCCGUAAACGAUGAAUACUAGGUGUAGGGGGUAUCGACUCCCUCUGUGCCGCAGUUAACACAAUAAGUAUUCCGCCUGGGGAGUACGGCCGCAAGGUUGAAACUCAAAUGAAUUGGCGGGG
Molecule: ribosomal RNA, 397 nt
Filed under: uncultured bacterium
Lineage: Bacteria
Description: partial 16S ribosomal RNA
Rfam family: Bacterial small subunit ribosomal RNA
Source: RNAcentral